GGUCUUGUGGCUUAGUGGUUAAAGCGACUGUCUAGUAAGCAGUAGAUCGUUGGUUCAAAUCCGCCGAAGACCU
Non-coding RNA from Symsagittifera roscoffensis, 73 nucleotides. The record is from the annotation of a RefSeq genome assembly. Lineage: Eukaryota; Metazoa; Xenacoelomorpha; Acoela; Convolutidae.